AACGAACGCUGGCGGCAGGCCUAACACAUGCAAGUCGAACGAAGGCCCGGAGCUUGCUCCGGUCACCUUAGUGGCGGACGGGUGAGUAACACGUGGGAAUUUGCCCAGGAGUGGGGAAUAACGUUUGGAAACGAACGCUAAUACCGCAUACACCCUACGGGGGAAAGGCUUCGGCCGCUCUUGGAUAAGCCCGCGUCAGAUUAGCUUGUUGGUGAGGUAAUGGCUCACCAAGGCGACGAUCUGUAGCUGGUCUGAGAGGAUGAUCAGCCACACUGGGACUGAGACACGGCCCAG
This 294-nucleotide ribosomal RNA is filed under the name uncultured bacterium. RNAcentral's name for it is "partial 16S ribosomal RNA". It matches the Rfam family "Bacterial small subunit ribosomal RNA", at positions 29 to 334 of the family's 1533-position model. The record is from RNAcentral.